RNAcentral lists this small RNA (148 nucleotides) under Pongo abelii (Sumatran orangutan). RNAcentral's name for it is "Metazoan signal recognition particle RNA (ENSPPYG00000037716.1)". The record is from Rfam by way of RNAcentral. Lineage: Eukaryota; Metazoa; Chordata; Mammalia; Primates; Hominidae.
GCCAGGUGUGGUGGCGCACACCUGUAAUCCCAGCUACUCAGGAGGCUGAGGCGUGAGAAUUGCUUGAACCUGGGAGGCAGAGGCUGCAGUUAGCUGAGAUUGUGCCACUGUACUCCAGCCCAAGUGACAGAGCAAGACUUCGUCUCAA